Molecule: transfer RNA, 67 nt
Filed under: Psychrobacter immobilis
Lineage: Bacteria; Pseudomonadati; Pseudomonadota; Gammaproteobacteria; Moraxellales; Moraxellaceae
Also listed under: 11 other names
Rfam family: tRNA
About the family: Transfer RNA (tRNA) molecules are approximately 80 nucleotides in length. Their secondary structure includes four short double-helical elements and three loops (D, anti-codon, and T loops).
Source: RNAcentral
GGGAAUAGCUCAGUGGUAGAGCAUAACCUUGCCAAGGUUGGGGUCGAGAGUUCGAAUCUCUUUUCCC